CCCCUAGAUGUUCUGGGCCGCACGCGCGCUACACUGAACAGUUCAACAAGUCUUAACCUUGGCCGAUAGGUCUGGGUAAUCUUUGAACGCUGUUCGCGACUGGGAUAGACCUUUGCAAUUAUGGGUCUUCAACGAGGAAUUCCUAGUAAACGCAAGUCAUCAGCUUGCAUUGAUUACGUCCCUGCCCUUUGUACACACCGCCCGUCGCACCUACCGAUUGAAUGGUCCGGUGAAAUCUCGGGACGGCGGCUUGGUCGCUUGCGUCCGACUGCUGAAACUUGAUUAAACCAUAUCAUUUAGAGGAAGGUGAAGUCGUAACA
Molecule: ribosomal RNA, 320 nt
Filed under: uncultured eukaryote
Lineage: Eukaryota
Description: partial 18S ribosomal RNA
Rfam family: Eukaryotic small subunit ribosomal RNA
Source: RNAcentral